RNAcentral lists this ribosomal RNA (481 nucleotides) under uncultured bacterium. RNAcentral's name for it is "partial 16S ribosomal RNA". It matches the Rfam family "Bacterial small subunit ribosomal RNA", at positions 28 to 523 of the family's 1533-position model. The record is from RNAcentral.
GACGAACGCUGGCGGCGUGCUUAACACAUGCAAGUCGAGCGAUGAAGUUUCUUCGGAAAUGGAUUAGCGGCGAACGGGUGAGGAACACGUGAAGAAUCUGCCCUCCACUUUGGGAUAACACAGGGAAACCUGUGCUAAUACCGAAUAUUGAAACAUAAGUGGCAUCACUGAGUUUUUAAAGAAUUUCGGUGGAGGAUGACUUCGCGGCCUAUCAGCUAGUUGGUGAGGUAAUGGCUCACCAAGGCAACGACGGGUAGCCGGCCUGAGAGGGCGACCGGCCACACUGGGACUGAGACACGGCCCAGACUCCUACGGGAGGCAGCAGUGGGGAAUAUUGGGCAAUGGAGGAAACUCUGACCCAGCGACGCCGCGUGCGGGAUGAAGGCCUUCGGGUUGUAAACCGCUUUCAGUAGGGAAGAAGCGAAAGUGACGGUACCUACAAAAGAAGCACCGGCUAACUAUGUGCCAGCCGCCGCUGUAA